RNAcentral lists this ribosomal RNA (270 nucleotides) under uncultured archaeon. RNAcentral describes it as "partial 16S ribosomal RNA". It matches the Rfam family "Archaeal small subunit ribosomal RNA", at positions 477 to 747 of the family's 1478-position model. The record is from RNAcentral.
CAGCACCUCAAGUGGUCAGGAUGAUUAUUGGGCCUAAAGCAUCCGUAGCCGGCGCUGUAAGUUUUCGGUUAAAUCUGUACGCUCAACGUACAGGCUGCCGGGAAUACUGCAGCGCUAGGGAGUGGGAGAGGUAGACGGUACUCGGUAGGAAGGGGUAAAAUCCUUUGAUCUAUUGAUGACCACCUGUGGCGAAGGCGGUCUACCAGAACACGUCCGACGGUGAGGGAUGAAAGCUGGGCGAGCAAACCGGAUUAGAUACCCGAGUAGUCC